UUUACUAUUCAUCGUCAAAAAGUCAAAAAUUUCAAAAACGUCUUAACGGACUCAGAUUUCACUUCCGAGUUCACCGUUCUCAUUCAAAUAAUUAUCUCGAAUUAUUCAAAUACUCAAACUCAAUUACGGAUAUAAAAUCCCACAUCAUCCAAACAUCAUCAAAAGAACAUCUCAACAUCUUUUAAAAAAAAAACAAGAAAACUUCAUAUAACUCCUCAUCUCUGUACAAGUAAUCAAACAAAGGAUACCCUAAUU
This 255-nucleotide long non-coding RNA is filed under the name Salvia miltiorrhiza (redroot sage). RNAcentral describes it as "long non-coding RNA (SMIL_LNC001546)". The record is from RNAcentral. Lineage: Eukaryota; Viridiplantae; Streptophyta; Magnoliopsida; Lamiales; Lamiaceae.